AACGAACGCUGGCGGCAUGCCUAACACAUGCAAGUCGAACGAGACCUUCGGGUCUAGUGGCGCCCGGGUGCGUAACGCGUGGGAACCUGCACUUAUGUUCGGAAUAACUCCCCGACAGGGGUGCUAAUACCGGAUAAUGUCUUCGGCCCGAAGAUUUAUUGCCUUUGGUUGUGCCCGCGUUGGAUUAGCUAGUUGGUAGGGUAAAAGCCUACCAAGGCGUCGAUCCAUAGAUGGUCUGAGAGGAUGGUCAGCCACACUGGGACUGGGACGCGGCCCAGACUCUUACGGGAGGCAGCAGUGGGGAAUAUUGGACAAUGGGCGAAAGGAUGAUCGAGCAAGGACGCGUGAGUGAUGAAGGCCGUAGGGUUGUAAUGCGCUUUUACCCGUGAUGAUAAUGACAGUACCGGGAGAAUAAGCUCCGGCUAACUCCGUG
Molecule: ribosomal RNA, 433 nt
Filed under: uncultured bacterium
Lineage: Bacteria
Description: partial 16S ribosomal RNA
Rfam family: Bacterial small subunit ribosomal RNA
Source: RNAcentral